AAAACUCUCUGCGAUCAGUUGAGAAAUCCCAUCUCCAAUCGAAGAACAUCAAGUAGCAGUGGUCAUCGACGGCUUAGGGGUCGAGCAUGUUAAACGUUCCUUCCUCACUUUUCUUUAACCUCAGGUAGUCAAUUGACAAGACGAUACUCACUUCUCUAUCUGAUAUCUGCGAUUAGACGGCCGAUUUGCCAGUAACUUUUUCUCUGCUGUCAUUUGCGCUAUUGCAGACCAUGUUGAAUUCGUGCGCACCAAAUCAAAUUGUCAUUGCGACGUUUCGCGGUGUGUUUCUCUGUUCAUGUUUCUCACUGAUUCUUUUCUCCUUAUUUUUCAGUAUGGGGGUGUGGUCUGAAAGCAGGGGGAAGUCAUGUGACCUAAAUCGGUUAUUUAAGUUAUAGAGAAUCACCUGAUUCUGAGAGACUUUAGGCUCGAUGAUUCCCUUGUUGGGGCUCCGCAUGAAUCUGAUGGCCAAGCAACUGGAGAAACAGAAGAUGGCGCAGGUUUACAGCGUUGUAAAACCGACCACGUCAUUGGGAGUUUACCUUUUAGAGUGGCCCGACAGCUGAUGGUUAUGCUCAAUCUACCUCUGACAUGAAAAGGCGAUUUUCGCAAUCUCUCCUGCGAAAUGGGCUAUAAGUGGAGCGAGAUCAUAUACUUUCAGUCCCUCCAGAAUCCAAUGGACCCUAUUCUGAGGGGCUGUAUGAAUAUUCCCAUCGAACAACUCAUGAUAAAAUUUGAAAAGCCUUGAUUGGAUUACCGGAUGCAAGGAGUGUGGUCGAGGAGUAUAUCACAGAAAGUUGCAAAUGUGCCAAAUGUAAGAACUAAGUUCAAGCUACAGAAUUAGAAAUUACUUAGCUAGAAUAUAACCUGGUCGAGUUUUUUCAAAGAAAAUAUGUAACGUACAAGAUAAGUUUCACUUUAUCAUAGUGUUAUAUAUAGUUUAGAUUACGAAUGUGUUUUUGAGGUUCUUGUAAAUCUAUACACUCGUCACUCACUUGUGACUGUUUUCUGAUUGUGGAGACCUCACUAAUUUCAAGCCUUUCGUCCUUCGGUUUGUUUUUCCCACUGUCUUCUGUGCCUUAUCCGUCGUGGAUACAGCACAGGUGAGGAGUAUGCUAACUUCCGAGCAUAGAAAAUAGAAACAAGGGAACAUUUAAGCAUGUACAUUUUUGGUAAUUGGUAAAGAAAAUUUUGUACAAG
Molecule: long non-coding RNA, 1197 nt
Organism: Stylophora pistillata
Lineage: Eukaryota; Metazoa; Cnidaria; Anthozoa; Scleractinia; Pocilloporidae
Source: RefSeq, a predicted model, not a curated record